RNAcentral lists this ribosomal RNA (323 nucleotides) under uncultured bacterium. RNAcentral describes it as "bacterial SSU rRNA". It matches the Rfam family "Bacterial small subunit ribosomal RNA", at positions 20 to 352 of the family's 1533-position model. The record is from RNAcentral.
UGGCUCAGAACGAACGCUGGCGGCGUGCCUAACACAUGCAAGUCGAACGGGACCGCAAGGUUCGGUGGCGGACGGGUGCGUAACACGUGAGGAACAGAUCCAUCGGUGGGGGAUAGCCGGCCCAACGGCCGGGUAAUACCGCGUACGACCCUUGAGCGGCAUCACUCUGGGGUGAUAGCAGCAAUGCGCCGAUGGGAUGCCUCGCGGCCUAUCAGCUAGUUGGUGAGGUAACGGCUCACCAAGGCUACGGCGAAUAGCUGGUCUGAGAGGAUGACCAGCCUCACUGGGACUGUGUCUCGGCCCAGAGAAAUACGGGAGGCAGC